Molecule: long non-coding RNA, 926 nt
Filed under: Coturnix japonica (Japanese quail)
Lineage: Eukaryota; Metazoa; Chordata; Aves; Galliformes; Phasianidae
Description: lncRNA (ENSCJPG00005008623.1)
Source: RNAcentral
CUCCUGGAAAAGAACACAGGUUUCAUUUCUCUAAGCAGCUGAUACAUGACAGUGUUCAGAAAACAAGCCAGUGAGCCAACAUGAAAAGGAGGUAUGUUCCUGUUAAAAGCUAGUCCUUAGCUUCUGUCACGUUGCUAGAAACCCCUGCCUCAACCUGAUGAUAAACUGUUCAGAUUAAGAAAAAAGAGCAAUCAUCUGAGAUGCAACGGUUGUGUCUCUCUUGUACUUCAGAGGAUUAGUUUAGCUAGGCUCAGAGACUGUUUGGGGCAGGUGUUUUUGUUGUUUCUUGUUUCUUUUUUUUUUCUGAGAAAAAAAUUAGGGGCUCUUAGUAAGAAUUCUGAGAUCACUGCUUGUUAUUCUUGAUACUGGCUUGGAAAAGGAGAUACGUUCCUAUAUAAUCGUGGACACACCAGUUUCCAAACAUCACCAGGGCAAUCUUUCUUGCUGCCAUGCUCUGUGCAGUUUUGCAACUGCUUCUCUUGUAGCAAAGGUGCAGGAGUUUCAGCAGGAGCUUCUCUUUGAAAAGGCUGCAGAAGAGGAGUCAACAUCUUGGGAUAUUUACUGAGUUCAGCUAUCUCAAGCCAGUAAAUUCUCCUGAAAAAAGAAGGAUGUUCAUCUCCUGCUUGUCUAUAUCUCUGUGACUGAGGUCUCAUAAACUAAAGGCUUCAGGCAGUUGUUCAUUUUCAAAAGGAAGGUGAACACCCAUGAGCUAGCUUCUUUAAUUUAGAUUGAUUUUGGUCUAAACUGUGAUGUUUGUAAGCAUGAUUACCAUUUAAGACUGCUGUCAUUUAGCCAGCAAACAAUGCACAUAACAACCACUUUGUACUUGUCAAAAACAACAUUCUGCUUUGGUUUGUUUGCUUUUUCCUCUUAAAUGUAAUGUUGUUUAAAAUAAAAGCUGUGCAUAUGGUAGUGAUAUAAUAAAU